GAUGAACGCUGGCGGCGUGCCUAAUACAUGCAAGUCGAGCGAACAGACGAGGAGCUUGCUCCUUUGACGUUAGCGGCGGACGGGUGAGUAACACGUGGGUAACCUACCUAUAAGACUGGGAUAACUUCGGGAAACCGGAGCUAAUACCGGAUAAUAUUUCGAACCGCAUGGUUCGAUAGUGAAAGAUGGCUUUGCUAUCACUUAUAGAUGGACCUGCGCCGUAUUAGCUAGUUGGUAAGGUAACGGCUUACCAAGGCAACGAUACGUAGCCGACCUGAGAGGGUGAUCGGCCACACUGGAACUGAGACACGGUCCAGACUCCUACGGGAGGCAGCAGUAGGGAAUCUUCCGCAAUGGGCGAAAGCCUGACGGAGCAACGCCGUGUGAGUGAUGAAGGUCUUCGGAUCGUAAAACUCUGUUAUUAGGGAAGAACAAACGUGUAAGUAACUGUGCACGUCUUGACGGUACCUAAUCAGAAAGCCACGGCUAACUACGUG
This 497-nucleotide ribosomal RNA is filed under the name uncultured bacterium. RNAcentral's name for it is "partial 16S ribosomal RNA". It matches the Rfam family "Bacterial small subunit ribosomal RNA", at positions 28 to 507 of the family's 1533-position model. The record is from RNAcentral.